ACGGGUGAGUAAUGCUUAUCUAACUUACCGAUUAGUGGGGGGUAGCUAUAAGAAAUUAUAGGUAAUACCGCAUAUUCUGGUUUAUACCAGCAAAGGACUAGGUUUUGAAAAAAGUUUAGUUCGCUAAUUGAUAGGGAUAAGUCGUAUUAGUUUGUUGGUGGGGUAAUGGCCUACCAAGACGAUGAUGCGUAGCCAGGCUGAGAGGCUGAUUGGCCACAAGGGAACUGAGACACGGUCCCUACUCCUACGGGAGGCAGCAGUGAGGAAUAUUCCACAAUGGGCGAAAGCCUGAUGGAGCAAUACUACGUGAAGGAUGAAGGUCUACGGAUUGUAAACUUCUUUACUUGGAUGUACUCCUAAAAGCUUGCAUCCGAGCAAAAAGUCACGACUAACUAUGUGCCAGCAGUCGCGGUAAGACAUAGGUGGCGAACGUUAUCCGGAAUUAUUGGGCGUAAAGGAUGCGUAGAUGGUAGAAUAAGUUACUGAUUGAUGCCAAACUCAAUUUGACGGAAGUUGGUAAUACUGUUCUGCUAGAGGGCAGAAGAGGUUGAUGGAAUUCUGUGAGGAGCGGUGAAAUGCGUUGAUCUGCAGAGGAACACCAAAAAAGGCGAAGGCAUUCAACUAUUCUGUUCCUGACAUUGAGGCAUGAAAGCGUGGGGAGCAAACCGGAUUAGAUACCCGGGUAGUCCACGCCCUAAACGAUGAGCAUUAGAUAUUAGACGUUAAGUUUAGUGUCGCCGCUAACGCUGUAAAUGCUCCGCCUGGGUACUACGGCCGCAAGGCUAAAACUCAAAGGAAUUGACGGGGACCCGCACAAGCGGUGGAGCAUGUGGUUCAAUUCGAUACGACGCGCAGAACCUUACCAAGGCUUGACAUGGAGGGCAAAGUUGAAGAAAUUCAACAGAGGUUAUCCCGACACAGGUGGUGCAUGGUCGUCGUCAGUUCGUGCUGUGAAGCGUAUGCUUAAGUGCUAUAACGAACGCAACCCUCAUAUUUAGUUGCUACCAUUCAGUUGAGAACUCUAAAUAGACUGCUAAGAAAACUUAGAGGAAGGUGAGGAUGACGUCUGGUCGUC
This 1075-nucleotide ribosomal RNA is filed under the name uncultured bacterium. RNAcentral's name for it is "bacterial SSU rRNA". It matches the Rfam family "Bacterial small subunit ribosomal RNA", at positions 102 to 1194 of the family's 1533-position model. The record is from RNAcentral.